Molecule: ribosomal RNA, 491 nt
Filed under: uncultured bacterium
Lineage: Bacteria
Description: partial 16S ribosomal RNA
Rfam family: Bacterial small subunit ribosomal RNA
Source: RNAcentral
GUGAACGCUGGCGGUAGGCCUAACACAUGCAAGUCGAACGGCAGCACAGUAAGAGCUUGCUCUUACGGGUGGCGAGUGGCGGACGGGUGAGGAAUACAUCGGAAUCUACUUUUUCGUGGGGGAUAACGUAGGGAAUCUUACGCUAAUACCGCAUACGACCUACGGGUGAAAGCAGGGGAUCUUCGGACCUUGCGCGAUUGAAUGAGCCGAUGUCGGAUUAGCUAGUUGGCGGGGUAAAGGCCCACCAAGGCGACGAUCCGUAGCUGGUCUGAGAGGAUGAUCAGCCACACUGGAACUGAGACACGGUCCAGACUCCUACGGGAGGCAGCAGUGGGGAAUAUUGGACAAUGGGCGCAAGCCUGAUCCAGCCAUACCGCGUGGGUGAAGAAGGCCUUCGGGUUGUAAAGCCCUUUUGUUGGGAAAGAAAAGCAGCAGGUUAAUACCCCGCUGUUCUGACGGUACCCAAAGAAUAAGCACCGGCUAACUUCGUG